ACUCAUUCAUCUUUUGAUUUCACCAUUUUCUAAAAAUACUUCAGCUUUUGUUCUUCUACCCUUGAACUAUUUUACUACUUCCCAACAAGUCUCAUCUAAAUUGUUUCAUUUAUAUUCUUUUCUGUUCCUCUCCUCACAUGAGUCCGAUAGGUUUCAAAAUGGGACACCUUACUUUCUUUUUUCUAUGGUGGUGAAUGCAUGAACGGUUGAAGAAGAAGGAGAAGUUGCUUGCAUGCAGCUGAAUAAGAUAUCUUAUGAUGAGAGAAUAUGCAGAUCAGGUGGUUUUUGAAGCGGGGAGAGGCUACAGUAAAGUAUUGCAAUGUAGUAGCAAACUGAGUAAAUUGCAGUGGUUUUUACAACAACUAUGCAACUGCUCCAUAGAUAUAUUAAGUUGUUUUUUAUGUGAAGUGGGCCAAUAAUAUAGGUUGGAUUUAUGUGAAAUUAGUGCUAGAGUUUGGAAUUAUAUGCUUAAUCAGAUCCUUUGUUAGUGCUGCAAUUCUGCAGGUUUUGGAGCUAAAUUGAGUUGUGUUUUACCGCAUAAUUAUGCAAACUUUUGUAUCUAAACUGUUUUUGUAGGCACCUUUACGGUUUGUUAUAACUAUAUUAGACUGUGAAUUGUUGGAUGUUAGUAAUGAAACACUUGGUCUUGGUAUAUGUAUGAAAUAUUAACUAUAGAAGUGUACGCAAAUGCAAUGGAGUGAAAC
Molecule: long non-coding RNA, 704 nt
Organism: Medicago truncatula (barrel medic)
Lineage: Eukaryota; Viridiplantae; Streptophyta; Magnoliopsida; Fabales; Fabaceae
Exons: 3
Source: RefSeq, a predicted model, not a curated record